GUCUUAUAUGCUAUAUAGUUUAAUUAAUAUAUUGUUUAUAGGCAAUAUUGUAAUGUUUGUUAUUGAUCACAUAAAAUAUGAUUGUUUUUAUAAGUACAUUAUGUUUCCACCUCAUUUCUCUGUUAUGAAGGGAAAUGCAAGAAAAUACAGCUUUAUUCCAUUUCACUGUCUUAAAAUCUUCAGUUGUUUUAAUAACUUAAUUUUAGCAGACAUGAUAAAAUGAUGUUAAAUAAGGACCUGUUAUAAUUGUUCUGCAAAAGAUCACCUGGCUGAGAAAAGUUUCAGCAAUGAACUGGAUCUAAUAAAUAAUUUUUUUAACUUUCCUCAUAUCAUUAACUUUCAUUCUUCUCCAACUUUUCAAAGCUAUUCCCUCUAUUGGCUAAACCUCUAAACUAUUCAUUUUAUAAAUACUAUAUUUAGUCAAGCAUUCAUCCAUAAUUCUUAACAAUUCAAG
This 454-nucleotide long non-coding RNA is filed under the name Androctonus crassicauda. Lineage: Eukaryota; Metazoa; Arthropoda; Arachnida; Scorpiones; Buthidae. The record is from RNAcentral.